Molecule: ribosomal RNA, 484 nt
Filed under: uncultured bacterium
Lineage: Bacteria
Description: partial 16S ribosomal RNA
Rfam family: Bacterial small subunit ribosomal RNA
Source: RNAcentral
AUUGAACGCUGGCGGCAUGCUUUACACAUGCAAGUCGAACGGCAGCGCGGGCUUCGGCCUGGCGGCGAGUGGUGAACGGGUGAGUAAUGCAUCGGAACGUGCCCAGUAGUGGGGGAUAGCCCGGCGAAAGCCGGAUUAAUACCGCAUACGACCUGAGGGUGAAAGCGGGGGACCGAAAGGCCUCGCGCUAUUGGAGCGGCCGAUGUCGGAUUAGCUAGUUGGGGGGGUAAAGGCUUACAAAGGCGACGAUCCGUAGCUGGUAUGAGAGGACGACCAGCCACACUGGGACUGAGACACGGCCCAGGCUCCUAAGGGAGGCAGCAGUGGGCAAUUUUGGACAAUGGGGGCAACCCUGAUACAGCCAUGCCGCGUGCUGGAAGAAGGCCUUCGGGUUGUAAACCGCUUUUGUUCGGGAAGAAAUCCUCUGGGCUAAUACCCCGGGGGGAUGACGGUACCGGAAGAAUAAGCACCGGCUAACUACGUG